This 433-nucleotide ribosomal RNA is filed under the name uncultured bacterium. RNAcentral's name for it is "bacterial SSU rRNA". It matches the Rfam family "Bacterial small subunit ribosomal RNA", at positions 957 to 1391 of the family's 1533-position model. The record is from RNAcentral.
GAACGCGAAGAACCUUACCAGAUCUUGACAUCCCGCGAAUGCCCGUGAAGACGGGCAGUGCCUUCGGGAACGCGGAGACAGGUGGUGCAUGGCUGUCGACAGCUCGUGUCGUGAGAUGUUGGGUUAAGUCCCGCAACGAGCGCAACCCCUGUUGCUAGUUACCAUCAUUAAGUUGGGGACUCUAGCAAGACUGCCUGCGAAGAGCAGGAGGAAGGUGGGGAUGACGUCAAGUCAUCAUGCCCCUUAUGAUCUGGGCUACACACGUGCUACAAUGGGCUGUACAGAGAGGAGCGAGGCGGUGACGCGGAGCGAAUCUUGAAAGCAGUUCGAAGUUCGGAUUGAAGUCUGCAACUCGACUUCAUGAAGUUGGAAUCGCUAGUAAUCGCGGAUCAGCAAUGCCGCGGUGAAUACGUUCUCGGGUCUUGUACACACC